Molecule: ribosomal RNA, 435 nt
Filed under: uncultured bacterium
Lineage: Bacteria
Description: partial 16S ribosomal RNA
Rfam family: Bacterial small subunit ribosomal RNA
Source: RNAcentral
AACGAACGCUGGCGGCAUGCCUAACACAUGCAAGUCGAACGAUUGCCUUCGGGUGAUAGUGGCGCACGGGUGCGUAACGCGGGGGAAUCUGCCCUUAGGUUCGGUAUAACAGCUGGAAACGGCUGCUAAUACCGGAUGAUAUCGCGAGAUCAAAGAUUUAUCGCCUGAGGAUGGGCCCGCGUUGGAUUAGGUAGUUGGUGGGGUAAAGGCCUACCAAGGCGACGAUCCAUAGCUGGUCUGAGAGGAUGAUCAGCCACACUGGGACUGAGACACGGCCCAGACUCCUACGGGAGGCAGCAGUGGGGAAUAUUGGACAAUGGGCGCAAGCCUGAUCCAGCAAUGCCGCGUGAGUGAUGAAGGCCCUAGGGUUGUAAAGCUCUUUUACCCGGGAAGAUAAUGACUGUACCGGGAGAAUAAGCCCCGGCUAACUCCGUG